This 57-nucleotide transfer RNA is filed under the name Neoverruca intermedia. RNAcentral describes it as "tRNA-Ser". Lineage: Eukaryota; Metazoa; Arthropoda; Thecostraca; Neoverrucidae. The record is from RNAcentral.
GAAAAUGAAAUACUUAGAGCUUCUAACUCUAAAAAUUGCAAUUCUGUAACAUUUUCU